UAUAGCCUCAGUUUAGCCUUCGAUACGGACCCACUUCCGCUCUCUUCGUCAAGAGAGGAUCAAGGCAGGAACCAGGGCUAUAGAGACAGAAAGAGAGGCUAGAGCGCCUCCUCGCCACGCCCCUCUCGUUGCCUCCUCUGUUGGAACUCCUAAUGAGAAAGGAGGGAGGGAUGUUCGCGACUCUCAUUUUUUUAACACAUCUAUGAGGCUGCGCUCAAUUUGAGCAAGAGCAGGACAUAGAGAUAAAACGGUAGACUCUUACUCAGUGGGCAUGCCUUGUCCAUUUAUACUUCCAUUUACUUUCUUCUCCCUUAAUGCAAAUACUGAUACUUUCCGCCAGAAACGAACCAACAUGCUAGUUGUAUUGUUCCGUCGUUCCAUAAAGGUCUACGCCUCGUGAUCAGUUUUUGGGGAGAUGAUGUGAAAGCACAGCAUAUGCUUUUAGACAACCCCCUGGCAGACAUGACGUGAAAGCACAGCAUAUGCUUUGCACCCUCCUUUUAAGCCAUAAAUUACUGCAUGUAAAUAUAACAUACACCCAAGAGCCAAUGAAUAUUUAUUUAGUAUGAAACAGAUAUUUCAUCCAACAUUUUAUUCCGUUUCCAUACGUCUGAGGAAGUGGACCUGUCCACGAAAGGUCAUAUUGAAAUAUAAUAGUCUUUAAGGUGCCCCAAGUUUUUUGUCUUGCUUUGUUUCCUUGGGUUUUGCCUGAUAUCCUUUUAAGGGGAAGCAGCAGAAGCUUGUGCUGCGUUUCAGGCAAAAAUAAAGGGGGACGAGAAGCAAAAACAAAACAAAGCACGGCACCCUUGCCAUUUAUCUCUUUUGCUGUAGAGAGAUGUAUGUUGCACAUAUCCAGAGGCUGGAGAAGGGGAAAACGUGGAAAGGUUUGGAAGGAACCAGCAGUGAUGUACUAGGUAGGUACUUCACCACAAGCACGGCAGGUCUGUGCAAAUGACUGCUGACAUAACAGAUGACAAAUGGGCUUCUUCUUCUCUUUGAAGGUAUGCCCAUCCUCAUGCUACUGUUCCUCUGAUGGUGAUAUC
This 1043-nucleotide long non-coding RNA is filed under the name Pogona vitticeps (central bearded dragon). RNAcentral's name for it is "lncRNA (ENSPVIG00000001328.1)". Lineage: Eukaryota; Metazoa; Chordata; Lepidosauria; Squamata; Agamidae. The record is from RNAcentral.